GACAUUGUGUCUUCGAGUCGUUGAUUUCACACUGCCGAGAAAAGCCUCUAGAUAGAAAAUAGGUGCCCGUACCGCAAACCGACACAGGUAGUCAAGAUGAGAAUUCUAAGGUGAGCGAGCGAACUCUCGUUAAGGAACUCGGCAAAAUGACCCCGUAACUUCGGGAGAAGGGGUGCUCUUUAGGGUUAACGCCCAGAAGAGCCGCAGUGAAUAGGCCCAAGCGACUGUUUAUCAAAAACACAGGUCUCUGCUAAACCGUAAGGUGAUGUAUAGGGGCUGACGCCUGCCCGGUGCUGGAAGGUUAAGAGGAGUGGUUAGCUUCUGCGAAGCUACGAAUCGAAGCCCCAGUAAACGGCGGCCGUAACUAUAACGGUCCUAAGGUAGCGAAAUUCCUUGUCGGGUAAGUUCCGACCCGCACGAAAGGCGUAACGAUUUGGGCACUGUCUCAACGAGAGACUCGGUGAAAUCAUAGUACCUGUGAAGAUGCAGGUUACCCGCGACAGGACGGAAAGACCCCGUGGAGCUUUACUGUAGCCUGAUAUUGAAAUUCGGCACAGCUUGUACAGGAUAGGUAGGAGCCUUUGAAACGUGAGCGCUAGCUUACGUGGAGGCGCUGGUGGGAUACUACCCUAGCUGUGUUGGCUUUCUAACCCGCACCACUUAUCGUGGUGGGA
RNAcentral lists this ribosomal RNA (674 nucleotides) under Staphylococcus aureus. Its description in RNAcentral is "partial 23S ribosomal RNA". It matches the Rfam family "Bacterial large subunit ribosomal RNA", at positions 1575 to 2249 of the family's 2925-position model. Lineage: Bacteria; Bacillati; Bacillota; Bacilli; Caryophanales; Staphylococcaceae. The record is from RNAcentral.